GUCUACAGCCACAACACCCUGAAUGCACCUGAUCUCAUCAGAUCUCAGAAGCUAAGCAGGGUUGGACUUGGUUGGUACCUGGAUGGGAGACUACUUGGGAAUACCGGAUGCUGUAGGCU
Molecule: ribosomal RNA, 119 nt
Filed under: Neogale vison (American mink)
Lineage: Eukaryota; Metazoa; Chordata; Mammalia; Carnivora; Mustelidae
Source: RNAcentral